AGAGUUUGAUCCUGGCUCAGAACGAACGCUGGCGGCGUGCCUAACACAUGCAAGUCGAACGCGAAAGGGGGCAACCCCCGGUAGCGUGGCAGACGGGUGAGUAACACGUGGGUAACCUACCCGGAGGUGGGGGAUAACCCUUCGAAAGGAGGGCUAAUACCGCAUGACACCGCGAGGACCUCGGUCCUUGCGAUCAAAGCUGGCCUCUGUUUACAAGCUAGCGCCACCGGAUGGGCCCGCGCCCCAUUAGCUAGUUGGUGAGGUAACGGCUCACCAAGGCGACGAUGGGUAGCCGGCCUGAGAGGGCGAUCGGCCACACUGGAACUGCGACACGGUCCAGACUCCUACGGGAGGCAGCAGUGAGGAAUCUUGCGCAAUGGGCGAAAGCCUGACGCAGCGACGCCGCGUGGAGGAUGAAGGUCUUCGGAUUGUAAACUCCUGUCGAGUGGGACGAAUGCCAUGAGGGUGAACAACCUUCGCGGUUGACGGUACCGCUGGAGGAAGCCCCGGCUAACUCCGUGCCAGCAGCCGCGGUAAU
This 538-nucleotide ribosomal RNA is filed under the name uncultured soil bacterium. Its description in RNAcentral is "bacterial SSU rRNA". It matches the Rfam family "Bacterial small subunit ribosomal RNA", at positions 8 to 524 of the family's 1533-position model. The record is from RNAcentral.